AGAAACAUCGAGGCUUGGGUGUUACCAGUCAGCUUCAGUUCUCACAGUCAGAUGUCCACAGGCUUCACUCACUUCCGACUUCUCCUUACCCUGCUAUGCUUGCUGUCACUGACCAAAAGCCUUUAUGUUUUACAAUGUCUUCCCGAACCUUCUCUUCCUCUUUCUUGCCCUUUUUGGACAGUCUUCUGAAGUUCCUCAGUGCCUUUUUCUUUUAUGAACUCAUUUCGUGGAAACAUUGGACCACCCAGAGAGAAAAACAGCCACUCGAGGGAGAAGCCCGGGUGUCAAGGAACUGAUGUUGGCUUGAGCCAACAGCCAUCGAGGAUCAGCCAACAGCCAUACGAGUGAGUCUGAGUGAGAAAGGUGGUCCUCCAGGUGAACCUGGAGAUAACUGCAGAUCCAGCUGACAUGCUGACUUCAGCCUCGUACCGACAGACCCUGGACCCGGCUGAGCCAGGCCUGCUCAAUGACCCACAAGGAAUGAGAUUAAAAAAGGUUUAAAUGCCUAA
Long non-coding RNA from Bubalus bubalis (water buffalo), 509 nucleotides. RefSeq lists it as uncharacterized. Lineage: Eukaryota; Metazoa; Chordata; Mammalia; Artiodactyla; Bovidae. The record is from RefSeq and is a predicted model, not a curated record. The transcript has 2 exons.